GUUGUCUCCCAUAAUCCUUUGCGCACCAGCAGAACGUCCCAUCUAGCAGAGGUGACUUGAAGCUGAGACGAAAUAAGGCUGCAAUUAUGCUUGGACAAGCAGUUAGGCGCUUCACUACUUCAGCCAUCCGGUCUUCACAUUAUGCUGAAGGACCAGGAAAGAAUCUGCCAUUUUCAGUGGAUAACAAAUGGCGUCUCCUUGGCCUAAUGGUGGUGUUCUUUGGCAGCGGCUUUGCAUUCCCCUUCAUUGUUGUCAGACAUCAGAUCUUGAAGAAGUGAAAUGGUUCCAUGUCCCUUAACCUUUAUGAUCGUCAGCUGGAACAUCCAUCAACAUUCUGUCUUUGCUGAAUGAUGGAAAUCACUUAAUUGUCUUUGUAAAUAAAGGUCUCCUUAAAUAUGA
Oryzias latipes (Japanese medaka) is the source of this 399-nucleotide non-coding RNA. The record is from RefSeq and is a predicted model, not a curated record. NCBI's taxonomy places the organism in Eukaryota, Metazoa, Chordata, Actinopteri, Beloniformes, Adrianichthyidae.